GGACGAACGCUGGCGUCGUGCCUAAUACAUGCAAGUAGAACGCACAGUUUAUACCGUAGCUUGCUACACCAUAAACUGUGAGUUGCGAACGGGUGAGUAACGCGUAGGUAACCUGCCUGGUAGCGGGGGAUAACUAUUGGAAACGAUAGCUAAUACCGCAUAAUAUUAAUUAUUGCAUGAUAAUUGAUUGAAAGAUGCAAUUGCAUCACUACCAGAUGGACCUGCGUUGUAUUAGCUAGUAGGUGAGGUAACGGCUCACCUAGGCGACGAUACAUAGCCGACCUGAGAGGGUGAUCGGCCACACUGGGACUGAGACACGGCCCAGACUCCUACGGGAGGCAGCAGUAGGGAAUCUUCGGCAAUGGACGAAAGUCUGACCGAGCAACGCCGCGUGAGGGAAGAAGGGUUUCGGAUCGUAAAGCUCUGUUGUAAGAGAAGAACGGGUGUGAGAGUGGAAAGUUCACACUGUGACGGUAUCUUACCAGAAAGGGACGGCUAACUACGUG
This 506-nucleotide ribosomal RNA is filed under the name uncultured bacterium. RNAcentral describes it as "partial 16S ribosomal RNA". It matches the Rfam family "Bacterial small subunit ribosomal RNA", at positions 27 to 507 of the family's 1533-position model. The record is from RNAcentral.